UACGUAGGGUGCGAGCGUUAAUCGGAAUUACUGGGCGUAAAGCGUGCGCAGGCGGUUAUUUAAGUCAGGUGUGAAAGCCCUGGGCUUAACCUAGGAAUUGCGCUUGAGACUGGAUAGCUUUGAGUGCGGCAGAGGGAGGUGGAAUUCCACGUGUAGCAGUGAAAUGCGUAGAGAUGUGGAGGAACACCGAUGGCGAAGGCAGCCUCCUGGGCCAGCACUGACGCCCAUGCACGAAAGCGUGGGGAGCAAACAGG
This 254-nucleotide ribosomal RNA is filed under the name uncultured bacterium. Its description in RNAcentral is "partial 16S ribosomal RNA". It matches the Rfam family "Bacterial small subunit ribosomal RNA", at positions 524 to 776 of the family's 1533-position model. The record is from RNAcentral.